CAGUAGCCGCGGUAAUACGUAGGUCCCGAGCGUUGUCCGGAUUUAUUGGGCGUAAAGCGAGCGCAGGCGGUUAGAUAAGUCUGAAGUUAAAGGCUGUGGCUUAACCAUAGUACGCUUUGGAAACUGUUUAACUUGAGUGCAAGAGGGGAGAGUGGAAUUCCAUGUGUAGCGGUGAAAUGCGUAGAUAUAUGGAGGAACACCGGUGGCGAAAGCGGCUCUCUGGCUUGUAACUGACGCUGAGGCUCGAAAGCGUGGGGAGCAAACAGGAUUAGAUACCCGAGUAGUCCCUGUCUCUUAUACC
Molecule: ribosomal RNA, 301 nt
Filed under: uncultured bacterium
Lineage: Bacteria
Description: partial 16S ribosomal RNA
Rfam family: Bacterial small subunit ribosomal RNA
Source: RNAcentral